This 978-nucleotide long non-coding RNA is filed under the name Anser brachyrhynchus (Pink-footed goose). RNAcentral's name for it is "lncRNA (ENSABRG00000017440.1)". The record is from RNAcentral. Lineage: Eukaryota; Metazoa; Chordata; Aves; Anseriformes; Anatidae.
CUUCAUUAAAGGAAAGAGCUACUGUUAAAACAGUUGAGAUGGAAGAGCAUGAUGCAGCACUGAGAAGCUCAGCCUUAACACAUUGGUUUCAUUUUGAUGCUUCCUGCUUUCAGUAUGAACUCUGGUGGAUACUACAGUUUCUACAAGUCUUCCUUGGCAGCAUGAAUUAUGCAGUCAGUGUGGAGUAAUACAGUUCAUCAUUUCAAAAGGAAACUUUCAGACUACCAGUGGUAUCUCGGGUAAUUGCAACAAGGAAGAACGCUACAGUUCUGGAGAUGAAACCACUGCUCUCAGCAGGAGUGGGAUCUCAGCUACAAGGUGAAAGCCUUCCCAGAAACUUCUCUGCUCCCACAUGGAGAAGACAACAAUGGAAGUUUCUAACAUCCAGGAAGAGAAAAAGGAUUAGAAGAACAAGUAUCUGAGAACUAUGGAAGACUCUUCAAACAGAACUGCAAAAGGAACCUUACCAAAAAUAAAGAAAAAAUCCUUUUUUUGCCUCAUUUCCCAACCAGUUUUACAGACUCAGUAAAUUCAGAAGCUUUGGAAACAUUUCAGCUACUCUUCCUAAAUGUCAAGGUACUUAUCCUUUUUUUUUGGUUUGUUCAUAUUAAAUGCGAAACAGACAUUUCCUCCAUCUCCAUUUAUAAAUCUAUAAUCACUCUUAUGUUACUUGUUAAUACAGUAACCACUUUUUUAUUGUACCAGGACUAAGAGAGUAGUCUGUGUCUAAGUAGACUUAAGUAUUACUAUUCCAAAAGUACAAUUUAGGUCACUUAGAAUAUUCCAAAAGCAUCCAGUAUUUAUUUACGCUUAAGGAACAACAGUGGUCAAAAUAUUUUAGAAUCCAUAAGCAGCAGGAAUAUGGAAAAUAUUAUUGUGUAUUUAUAUAAAUCAAUGAUACGGAUUCAAAUUAAUACUGGAUUCAGUGUUGGGAACUUUGGCUUUCAAUAAGGAAAAUAAGAAGGAAAAUAAAAACUG